UUUCACUUUCGAGUUUCGACCUCUUAACGGUUAACAAUAAAACACAUUUUUUUCAGCGAACCAAAACCUAACUAAAGCACCAAACAAAUAACUGAUCUCCACUCCACUUUGUUAGCAACAUUUAGUCAUUUCUAAACCUUCAAGAGCCUAUCAGAAGGCCACAUAAGACUUUCCGGCGAAAGCAUUGUUUUUCCGGCGAGUUAGUUGAAGAUAUAAAUGCAACAGUUUGGAUUUUUGUUUGCCGAAUAUGCAAAAAAAUAAGGGAGCGCCUGCCUACCCAAGGCUACACUGGAUUCUCAAGGAUACCACAAUCCUUAGGAAAGACAUACAACUAUAAAGGCAUAUUGGAAAGUACAUUGU
RNAcentral lists this long non-coding RNA (360 nucleotides) under Helianthus annuus (common sunflower). RNAcentral's name for it is "sRNA HanXRQr2_Chr17g0799861". Lineage: Eukaryota; Viridiplantae; Streptophyta; Magnoliopsida; Asterales; Asteraceae. The record is from RNAcentral.